This is a non-coding RNA of Paramuricea clavata, 650 nucleotides long. The record is from the annotation of a GenBank genome assembly. NCBI's taxonomy places the organism in Eukaryota, Metazoa, Cnidaria, Anthozoa, Malacalcyonacea, Plexauridae.
ACCGAGCUUGCCGUUAGCUCAUACGGCAAGGGCGCUGCGUGCGAAAAGUUAAACGCAGUCGGGGUCGGGAUGUGUUUUGUUUGAUUUAGCAUUGUUUUUUCUUAAAAUUUUUUAAACUUUUUUUCCCGACUUUUCUAACUCUCAAAAGGUUAGGGUUAGGACUUAGGGGUUAGGGUUAGAAAAGGGUUUGGGGUUGGGGAUAGGUUUAUCUUAUAAAAAUUCAACUUUAACAAUAGUCACUAGACUGCCGGCCAUUUAGUAUUUGAUAAACCGUGACCGGCUGCCGGUCAUAUAGUCACUUCGAAUAUUUAACUCACAAACCUUGCAUUUCGAUGACACUGGUUGUAAAAUCAUGACAUCUACUGACAUAAGUGGUAUCUUGAGGAGGAUGGUCGCGAUAUCCGAUCAAUGCAAGACGAACAUCGAAAGCUGCUCUUCUAACUCCCCUUGUUAUGUUUUGGAUGUGGCUUUGUGUUUGUACGAUAUAUGAACCCAUAGAUUGCGUAGAAUCUACAACAAAAGCUAGAUCGACUUGUCGCGACUCAUGACGUGCAGACCAUACAUCAAAUAAACGAGCCAUGUUUGAAUUGUCUUCGUGAGUAUUUAAUAAUAAAGCACCGUUUUAAUAUAGGUGAGUAAGGUGACAAUAG